This 495-nucleotide ribosomal RNA is filed under the name Triticum aestivum (bread wheat). Its description in RNAcentral is "partial small subunit ribosomal RNA". The record is from RNAcentral. Lineage: Eukaryota; Viridiplantae; Streptophyta; Magnoliopsida; Poales; Poaceae.
AUGGAGAAGUUCGCCUUUGAUGAUGUUAGCCGGAUUGAUUCUUCAACACUUGAGCCUGAGAUGGAGAGCUUCAUGGUUGAUUAUGGUGAGGUGGAUUCAGAUGUCAAGGAGUCAAGCUCUAUUUCACUUGUUGACAUGAGUCCGGUGGAAAUUAAUACUACCACACCUCACUUGGUAUCUUCAAUGGAGGUAGUCCUGAAGCUUCUUCCUAACUAUCUCAGGUAUGAUCUCAGCUUUCUCGACAAGAUAUGCCAUAUCAUGGAUACUGCCUAUGCACCAUGCGAUUUAUUGAUGAUAUCUAUUUAUCAUAUGCUCAAUAGAUAUGCUUAUGUGAUAGGAUACUCUAUUGAUGACUUAGAGGGCAUUGUCCCUAUCAUUUGUAUUGGCUUGUUUGUUGAGUGUUCUUUCAGGUUUAUGCUUGUGCACCAUUCAUUACGGGCUGACCAAGUUCGAGAUGACAUCCCAUGGGAUCCUGGUGGAUUCACAGCAUGGUGA